GGAUAAGCCUGAAGAGCAGUGGU
RNAcentral lists this non-coding RNA (23 nucleotides) under Cricetulus griseus (Chinese hamster). Lineage: Eukaryota; Metazoa; Chordata; Mammalia; Rodentia; Cricetidae. The record is from RNAcentral.